Molecule: ribosomal RNA, 482 nt
Filed under: uncultured bacterium
Lineage: Bacteria
Description: partial 16S ribosomal RNA
Rfam family: Bacterial small subunit ribosomal RNA
Source: RNAcentral
AGUGAACGUUGGCGGCGUGGAUUAGGCAUGCAAGUCGAGCGAGAACCGUAGCAAUACGGGGACAGCGGCGAAAGGGACAGUAAUGUGUAGGUACCUACCCCGGGGUCUGGGAUAGCUGCGGGAAACUGCAGGUAAUACCGGAUAAUGUCUUCGGACCAAAGGUGUGAUUCCACCUUGGGAGGGGCCUGCAUCCUAUUAGCUUGUUGGCGGGGUAACGGCCCACCAAGGCAACGAUGGGUAGCGGGUGUGAGAGCACGACCCGCGUCAUUGGGACGAAGAUACUGCCCAGACACCUACGGGUGGCUGCAGUCGAGGAUCUUCGGCAAUGGGCGAAAGCCUGACCGAGCGACGCCGCGUGCGGGAUGAAGGCCUUCGGGUUGUAGACCGCUGUCGUAGAGGAGGAAAUGCAGGGGGGUUCUCCCUUCUGUUUGACCUAUUCUAGGAGGAAGGACGGGCUAAGUUCGUGCCAGCAGCCGCCGUAA